CUAAUUAAGUGUAAUACAUAAUCAGCAUUGUUUUAGACUGAGGCUAUCUGACCCACCCUUCCCCAGAUAUUUCUCGUCUGAGGCGUGGUUUGUUCAGUUACUUUCGUUUUGUUCCCUUCGUCGAAGAGAUGAAGCCACACAACAUCAACGUGUUACCAGGGGAUAAGCCUGCUUGCAGGCAACUGCACCAAAACUUCUGGCUCUCUAAAUUAAGGACGUUGAAGGUGUAAAUCCAAAGCGGCUAUUGAUUUCAACAAGAAUGUGACAAAUGAGGCUAAUGUGGAUUUUCUCACUAUCAUGAUAAAUACAAAUUUCAUUCAAUAAUUGCUAAAAAAAAAAAAAAAAAAAAAAAA
Molecule: long non-coding RNA, 353 nt
Organism: Carassius carassius (crucian carp)
Lineage: Eukaryota; Metazoa; Chordata; Actinopteri; Cypriniformes; Cyprinidae
Exons: 3
Source: RefSeq, a predicted model, not a curated record